GGGGAAUAUUGGACAAUGGGCGAAAGCCUGAUCCAGCCAUGCCGCGUGUGUGAAGAAGGCCUUUUGGUUGUAAAGCACUUUAAGUGGGGAGGAAAAGCUUAUGGUUAAUACCCAUAAGCCCUGACGUUACCCACAGAAUAAGCACCGGCUAACUCUGUGCCAGCAGCCGCGGUAAUACAGAGGGUGCAAGCGUUAAUCGGAAUUACUGGGCGUAAAGCGCGCGUAGGUGGUUAUUUAAGUCAGAUGUGAAAGCCCCGGGCUUAACCUGGGAACUGCAUCUGAUACUGGAUAACUAGAGUAGGUGAGAGGGAAGUAGAAUUCCAGGUGUAGCGGUGAAAUGCGUAGAGAUCUGGAGGAAUACCGAUGGCGAAGGCAGCUCCCUGGCAUCAUACUGACACUGAGGUGCGAAAGCGUGGGUAGCAAACAGGAUUAGAUACCCUGGUAGUCCACGCCGUAAACGAUGUCUACCAGUCGUUGGGUCUUUUAAAGACUUAGUGACGCAGUUAACGCAAUAAGUAGACCGCCUGGGGAGUACGGCCGCAAGGUUA
This 548-nucleotide ribosomal RNA is filed under the name uncultured bacterium. RNAcentral's name for it is "bacterial SSU rRNA". It matches the Rfam family "Bacterial small subunit ribosomal RNA", at positions 356 to 896 of the family's 1533-position model. The record is from RNAcentral.